CUACGGGUGGCUGCAGUAGGGAAUCUUGCACAAUGGGGGGAACCCUGAUGCAGCAACGCCGCGUGGAGGAUGACGCAUUUCGGUGUGUAAACUCCUUUUAUAUGUCAAGAAAAUGACGGUAGCAUAUGAAUAAGCACCGGCUAACUCCGUGCCAGCAGCCGCGGUAAUACGGAGGGUGCAAGCGUUACUCGGAAUCACUGGGCGUAAAGGACGCGUAGGCGGGUUGGAAAGUCAGGUGUGAAAUCCUACAGCUUAACUGUAGAACUGCACUUGAAACUUCUAAUCUAGAGUAUGGGAGGGGGAGAUGGAAUUAGUGGUGUAGGGGUAAAAUCCGUAGAUAUCACUAGGAAUACCUAAAGCGAAGGCGAUCUCCUGGAACAUUACUGACGCUAAGGCGUGAAAGCGUGGGGAGCAAACAGGAUUAGAUACCCCCGUAGUC
This 439-nucleotide ribosomal RNA is filed under the name uncultured bacterium. RNAcentral describes it as "partial 16S ribosomal RNA". It matches the Rfam family "Bacterial small subunit ribosomal RNA", at positions 339 to 795 of the family's 1533-position model. The record is from RNAcentral.